GCAAGUAGAGCUCAGUGGUAGAGCACGUGCUUGCUGUCCAUGAGGUCUGGGGUUCAAUCCCCAGUGCCUCUG
RNAcentral lists this transfer RNA (72 nucleotides) under Camelus bactrianus (Bactrian camel). It matches the Rfam family "tRNA". From Rfam's summary of the family: Transfer RNA (tRNA) molecules are approximately 80 nucleotides in length. Lineage: Eukaryota; Metazoa; Chordata; Mammalia; Artiodactyla; Camelidae. RNAcentral also lists the same sequence under 1 other name. The record is from Rfam by way of RNAcentral.